Molecule: ribosomal RNA, 3007 nt
Filed under: Salmonella enterica subsp. enterica serovar Napoli
Lineage: Bacteria; Pseudomonadati; Pseudomonadota; Gammaproteobacteria; Enterobacterales; Enterobacteriaceae
Description: 23S ribosomal RNA
Rfam family: Bacterial large subunit ribosomal RNA
Source: RNAcentral
GGUUAAGCGACUAAGCGUACACGGUGGAUGCCCUGGCAGUCAGAGGCGAUGAAGGGCGUGCUAAUCUGCGAUAAGCGCCGGUAAGGUGAUAUGAACCGUUAUAACCGGCGAUACCCGAAUGGGGAAACCCAGUGUGACUCGUCACACUAUCAUUAACUGAAUCCAUAGGUUAAUGAGGCGAACCGGGGGAACUGAAACAUCUAAGUACCCCGAGGAAAAGAAAUCAACCGAGAUUCCCCCAGUAGCGGCGAGCGAACGGGGAGGAGCCCAGAGCCUGAAUCAGCAUAUGUGUUAGUGGAAGCGUCUGGAAAGGCGCGCGAUACAGGGUGACAGCCCCGUACACAAAAGCGCAUGUGCUGUGAGCUCGAUGAGUAGGGCGGGACACGUGGUAUCCUGUCUGAAUAUGGGGGGACCAUCCUCCAAGGCUAAAUACUCCUGACUGACCGAUAGUGAACCAGUACCGUGAGGGAAAGGCGAAAAGAACCCCGGCGAGGGGAGUGAAAAAGAACCUGAAACCGUGUACGUACAAGCAGUGGGAGCCCCACCACCAAAGCAUUCUCUGGUGUUGAAGGCCCUGCAAAGCAGCAUCGCGGUGGCGGAGCGUCGUUUGCGACGCCCAACACACAAAACAAACGGUGAGUGCUUUGGGGUGGGGUGACUGCGUACCUUUUGUAUAAUGGGUCAGCGACUUAUAUUCUGUAGCAAGGUUAACCGUAUAGGGGAGCCGAAGGGAAACCGAGUCUUAACCGGGCGUUAAGUUGCAGGGUAUAGACCCGAAACCCGGUGAUCUAGCCAUGGGCAGGUUGAAGGUUGGGUAACACUAACUGGAGGACCGAACCGACUAAUGUUGAAAAAUUAGCGGAUGACCUGUGGCUGGGGGUGAAAGGCCAAUCAAACCGGGAGAUAGCUGGUUCUCCCCGAAAGCUAUUUAGGUAGCGCCUCGUGAAUUCAUCUCCGGGGGUAGAGCACUGUUUCGGCUAGGGGGCCAUCCCGGCUUACCAACCCGAUGCAAACUGCGAAUACCGGAGAAUGUUAUCACGGGAGACACACGGCGGGUGCUAACGUCCGUCGUGAAGAGGGAAACAACCCAGACCGCCAGCUAAGGUCCCAAAGUCAUGGUUAAGUGGGAAACGAUGUGGGAAGGCCCAGACAGCCAGGAUGUUGGCUUAGAAGCAGCCAUCAUUUAAAGAAAGCGUAAUAGCUCACUGGUCGAGUCGGCCUGCGCGGAAGAUGUAACGGGGCUAAACCAUGCACCGAAGCUGCGGCAGCGACACUAUGUGUUGUUGGGUAGGGGAGCGUUCUGUAAGCCUGCGAAGGUGGCCUGUGAGGGUUGCUGGAGGUAUCAGAAGUGCGAAUGCUGACAUAAGUAACGAUAAAGCGGGUGAAAAGCCCGCUCGCCGGAAGACCAAGGGUUCCUGUCCAACGUUAAUCGGGGCAGGGUGAGUCGACCCCUAAGGCGAGGCCGAAAGGCGUAGUCGAUGGGAAACGGGUUAAUAUUCCCGUACUUGGUGUUACUGCGAAGGGGGGACGGAGAAGGCUAUGUUGGCCGGGCGACGGUUGUCCCGGUUUAAGCGUGUAGGUGUGUGUUCCAGGUAAAUCCGGUUCACUUUAACACUGAGGCGUGACGACGAGGCACUACGGUGCUGAAGCAACAAAUGCCCUGCUUCCAGGAAAAGCCUCUAAGCAUCAGGUAACAUCAAAUCGUACCCCAAACCGACACAGGUGGUCAGGUAGAGAAUACCAAGGCGCUUGAGAGAACUCGGGUGAAGGAACUAGGCAAAAUGGUGCCGUAACUUCGGGAGAAGGCACGCUGACACGUAGGUGAAGUGAUUUACUCACGGAGCUGAAGUCAGUCGAAGAUACCAGCUGGCUGCAACUGUUUAUUAAAAACACAGCACUGUGCAAACACGAAAGUGGACGUAUACGGUGUGACGCCUGCCCGGUGCCGGAAGGUUAAUUGAUGGGGUCAGCGCAAGCGAAGCUCCUGAUCGAAGCCCCGGUAAACGGCGGCCGUAACUAUAACGGUCCUAAGGUAGCGAAAUUCCUUGUCGGGUAAGUUCCGACCUGCACGAAUGGCGUAAUGAUGGCCAGGCUGUCUCCACCCGAGACUCAGUGAAAUUGAACUCGCUGUGAAGAUGCAGUGUACCCGCGGCAAGACGGAAAGACCCCGUGAACCUUUACUAUAGCUUGACACUGAACAUUGAGCCUUGAUGUGUAGGAUAGGUGGGAGGCUUUGAAGCGUGGACGCCAGUCUGCGUGGAGCCGACCUUGAAAUACCACCCUUUAAUGUUUGAUGUUCUAACGUGGACCCGUGAUCCGGGUUGCGGACAGUGUCUGGUGGGUAGUUUGACUGGGGCGGUCUCCUCCUAAAGAGUAACGGAGGAGCACGAAGGUUGGCUAAUCCUGGUCGGACAUCAGGAGGUUAGUGCAAUGGCAUAAGCCAGCUUGACUGCGAGCGUGACGGCGCGAGCAGGUGCGAAAGCAGGUCAUAGUGAUCCGGUGGUUCUGAAUGGAAGGGCCAUCGCUCAACGGAUAAAAGGUACUCCGGGGAUAACAGGCUGAUACCGCCCAAGAGUUCAUAUCGACGGCGGUGUUUGGCACCUCGAUGUCGGCUCAUCACAUCCUGGGGCUGAAGUAGGUCCCAAGGGUAUGGCUGUUCGCCAUUUAAAGUGGUACGCGAGCUGGGUUUAGAACGUCGUGAGACAGUUCGGUCCCUAUCUGCCGUGGGCGCUGGAGAACUGAGGGGGGCUGCUCCUAGUACGAGAGGACCGGAGUGGACGCAUCACUGGUGUUCGGGUUGUCAUGCCAAUGGCACUGCCCGGUAGCUAAAUGCGGAAGAGAUAAGUGCUGAAAGCAUCUAAGCACGAAACUUGCCCCGAGAUGAGUUCUCCCUGAGACUUUAGGUCUCCUGAAGGAACGUUGAAGACGACGACGUUGAUAGGCCGGGUGUGUAAGCGCAGCGAUGCGUUGAGCUAACCGGUACUAAUGAACCGUGAGGCUUAACCUU